UGGCUGGCGGGGGAGAGGGGGUCUCUUCGGCCUUCUACCUCCCGCGGCUGGGGCUACUCUUCCAGCUACCGGGCACUUCACGGCGUGCGCCCCCGGGGCCUCCCAAACUGUUUCCAAACUGCCCAGACCGGAGGUGGGCGCGUGGAGACUAGGCGAAAGGGCUGGGUUUGGAGGGGGCGAUUGUGUGCUUGAAUACUAGGAGACUGGGGAAGCAGACGUCGACCCCAAACGAGUUUGCAAUCGAGGUAUCUCCGAUCCCGCUUCCUCUUCGGCCCGCACACCCCCUCCCUCCCUGGAGCAGUACUGGGGAGGGGAAACCAAGAUUUGGAACCACAUUAGCCUUCACAUUCCUGGGAGGAUACAGCCCUCGCCUGGACGUGGAAGAUAGCUUUUUUUUUUUCCUUUCUGUUUUUAUUUUUGGAAGGGAGCGCCCUGUAAUUGUCCUGAACGCAUGCUUCUUCCUCCAGGCACCAGCGACAGAGAGUCCCCUUUUUUGCAUUUAUCAUUUUCCUUCCCCUUUCUUUAUUAAAGGUCCGGGAGUGGCGGCGGCCAAUCAGCGCUCGGCUUCCAUUUUGUGAGUUCAACUCGGAGGCUUCCCCGGCUUCGCGUGGAUAUGUUUGCAGACCCCUCGGUCUCUCUUCUCGGGCUGCCGACAUGAAGCAGCCGCCUCGCUGGGGCUUCGUGGUGGUGUUUUUCAUAUUGGGGCUCUUUUCGGGGUUUGUAAUUUGGCCGUGGGUAGGUAAUUGGCUGGAGCAGGGCGGCAGGGCGCGGCAGCCAAUCAGCACACGGCUUCUAUAGGGCUUGCGUUAUUAGACGCUGAUCUCAAAACAUCCUUCAUCAGACUCCAAGGAGAGGCCAACAGAUGAGGGGAGCCAUUUUUCUGCAAUGGAAUUAAAUGGCCAAGUGGGUUUUUCCUUUGUUGCAAAUGGGGAAUGCUUUUCCUUUGACUCCACCAUCCAGUUCAGGACGCCCGAAUGUAUUUAACAUUUGCCAAAGGACUCACACUUGGAAGAAUGAAGAAGACCUUUUAAAAAGAUCUGGAUUUUUCCUUAUGACUUGGAAUCCAUCUUUGUCUUGUAUAACUAGGUCAUAGCACACUAUCAAUGUCAGCAGUUAACAGUUUUGAAUUCAAAAAAACCUAAGUAAAUGACAUAUUUAAUUUUUUCCUUUUUUUCUUGGGUGGAUGGGGGGAGAGCUUGGAGCUGUCUUAAUCUGUAUUCUCUUGACUGAACAAUAAAUUUUUAAAUAUUUCCUCUAUUAAACACUUAACCUGGUCAUCUUAUUAACUACUCUUUUUAACAAGGUAAUGUUUUAAAUGUAUAGUUGUAGGAAUAGCGAAAUGGCAGCAACAAAAAAUUGUGAGCUGUUACUGUUAAAUUUUCUAAAAAACCUUUUACAUUGUAAGUACCCAAUCCAUUCUGUCCUUCCUGCACUGCAGUUUUCAUGUUACUGUCGCCUGAAAUGUCCUGAAUUUUCGGAAUCUUCAUCUGCAUGUGUGUCUUUGUCUCUGUCUGAUAUAAGUCAGUUAAAAUGCUUUUAGACGCUUGCUUUUAUAAAGCUACGGUUUUUAGUUCAAGCUUUUGGAAAAAUGUUUAUAGCAAUAGAUGCUGCUCCGACUUCUUCCCAGUAACUCGUACACUUUCUUUGAAAAUCGAUCUAUUUUGAAGAAAAACAGUUGUUUUUUCUCGACUGGGGGGGGGGGACGACUGAGAGAAAGGAAGUCUUUCUUUACAAAGACUCAAAGCCGUCACUGAAAACUAGAUUAAAACUGGAAAACAAGUCCUAGCUGGUGCAAGCCAAACACCCACGUUAACCCGGUGCUGUUUUCUAUGGUGGUUGGGACGGCUGGUGAGCUAUUUUGCCUUUUGUUUGACUUGACCGUGUUUUCGCCUUUUGUUUCUUAAUGAUCACACCAUUGCUAAAUCCAGAGCGGUAAACAGUCCACAGCGAAGCCGCCUUUUUGCCAGCCCAACCCUGGAAAGUUUGCAGUCGUGGAAGGAGCAGAAAAUACUGAGUGUAACUUACAAAAAGGUAACAACAAAAGAACACUAUUACCCCAGAUUUUUUUUCCCAACUAAAUAACCAAAACAACAACAAAAAAACCUUUUCAUAAUAACAUCUCCAAAAACACCGCCCAGUUUUUUCUUCUAGACUCCAUGGCACCGGGCUGAGCGGGUAAGUAAAAAACUAAAAUAAUUUAGAAAAAACUUAAGUGCCUUUGCCCCCUUCGAGGAACUCUUGAUUGAGCAGGCCAUGGGCUGUAGGUGAUGGGAGCUGAGGUUUCUAGAGCUUGAGUUUGGCAACCGGUGACAGUGGGCGGGUGAGGGGACAAAGACUCUCCAGACCCCUUUGCCUUUUCUGCCCCAGAGGCGAAGAGAGCAUCUCCCCAGUACCCUGGGACAUCCAUGGAGCUGUCUGCGAUAGUCCCUUUGGCUCGCCUCAGGUCUGAACCUUGGUGGCAGAGAAGAAAUUUAAGUGCUUUGGAGAUGGAGGGGCUGAAAGAGCGAGGAAACCUUCCCACCCAUCCUAAGGUUUCGUUCCCAUUUGAUUGUGGGGUUUCUGCACCCUUAAAUCAGCUUUUCGGGGCUCCGGGGCUCGCCUGCUCUUCCAAAGAGAAAAAGGACAAAAGGCCGGCGUCCAUGUUGGCACCAUGACGCAGCAUCUCUCCCGCCUGCAGCCGGGCGCUGCCUGUCCUCCCGGCCGUGCUCGCUCCUCCCUCCCAAACAUGAGUUUUAUUUUCAGGUUUUGAGCCGAGCCGCUGGCUGGGCCGGGUUGGGGCCAAGGCUGGGGCCGCCCGGCUGCUCAAUGCUGCGGUGGCUAAUGGCGGCCGGCUCUCCUCCUUCCUUCCGCCAUUGUCUUUCCCCGGUUGUCGCUGGGAGGCAGUCCCGGGUCCUAAGAGCCCGCAAGGCAAGGCACCCGGGAUACCGGUGACGGGUCUCUGGCGGCCUUGGGCCUCCGGGGCGUCGCGUACCACAGUUCCCGCACUCGCCCACCCACCCCACACCCGCCCGCCUGCCUCCGGGUGAGGCGUGCGACUCCCGCAGUGGCGGCCGCGGGAGGAGCCGGAGCUGGGCUGGGCGAGCCGCUGGAGGCGGGUUGAGGACCCUGAUCUCCGCUGAAGCCCCGGACUCCAUGGCCCAGGAGGGCACGAGGCCUCUCUCUGGCUGCUGUGCCUGCUGUUCUGCCUCGAAACAGGAGCCAAGUAGCCAAGGGCUAAGAGGCUGCCUUCACUGCCCACUUGGCUUCAGGAGACCCACCCCGGCCUCCCCCAGUCGUUCUUUGAUAGCCGAGCCGGAGGGGCGGGUCUCCCCUUUUGUCCCCCACUUUGGGAUAGAGGCCCUCGCGGUGCCUGAGUCCCUUCACUUGGUCGCCAGGGGCUCAGCCUCCAACCCAGCUCUGCGGGUUGGAGGUGUGUGUUAGAGGAGGGGGGCGGUUGGGGCCUGGGAAAGCCGAUUGGGGCCUCCCCCUCGGGAACCCCCCCCUCCCGUGACAGUGCCCGAGGGUAAAGCCUUAGAUCUCAGCCUUCCUGGGGGAGGGGAUGCGGACAGGGCGGGCCUUUGGAAAUGCAGAUGAGCCGUCUCCUGCUGCUCGUCGCCCGGGCUGAACCUUAGUGACUCAGCCACCCCCACCCCACCCCCACCCAUUCCAGAGUGAGGGCUGCCUUGUCAGCUGGAAGAGGGGGGGCAGCACUUCUGAGGCUCCCUUUCUAUCUAGUAGACCCUGUUGGUUCGCAUUUGGCCGAUCCAUUCUCUGACCUACAAACUGUGGGACUGCCCUAACAGAUCGUCCGAAUUCACAGGUAUUGCUCGGAGCCCGGAGCAAUGUCUCGGUUAUCCCCCCCACAGUAACAAUCCUUGCCUCCUCUGGACAUCUGGAACAGGCCCAAUUUGACUGACAGCUUGCCCACUAAGGUAGGUAAGAGCCCUUUUCCCAAGUUGAGAGAACUGUAUCGGGGGCUUUGGCCUGCGGCCUUCGAAGGGCGGGUUGGGAUCCCCAAACUCGCUGGGCUGGUUCAGCAGCCCCUCCCCCACGCUGAUGUGGCGGUUGUGUCUGUGUGUGAAAUGGGCGGCCUGCUGGGUCCAUCCAGCCCCGCCUGUCAACCUCUGUUGUCAGGCGUUUAGGGCGGGCGAUUCUCUGCCGAAUUUAGCAACUUACUAGAGCAGGACUACGAAGUAUUUCCCAGUGGUGUGUUUUAUGGUGGGUGGGAGGGUCCUGGAAGCUUCUGAAGGCAUUGACUGCUGCCAGGCUUGCCGGUGGUGCCUCAGCCAUUUCUCCUGAGUCCCAUUAGGGUGGCCAAAUGAGCCACCCUCUGAUGUCUGCCUUGCUGGCUAGACAAAGAACCAAAAAACCUGAAAUCUUAGGCAGCCUUCCCAGAGAAAAGGUUUCCUUGACUUCUUUUCCUGGAUUCUCACAGUGGCCUCCUAGCUCCUAACAAGGCCAGGAUGGCGAUAGCCUAGCCUGGCUUCUAGAACUGUACAAAGCUGGCUGUGAAGUAGACGGGCUCUUUACAUGUGUUUACCGUGCAUAGUCAACACGGUCUCCGAGCAGUCUCCUUAGCUGCAAAAAUUAGGCACCGUAGCAUAAGUCGGAAGGGGAACUCAUUUAGCCUCACUGUGCCCGGCUCUUAAAAGCGUCUCAUUCAGAAGGUGCAUCUAAGAAUUAGCACUUCUUACAAGGGCCCAGGCCAGUUUUCCAGACUUUCCCUGCUAGGUGACACCUGGGAUAUUCUCCAUCUGUGUAGCUCCAGUUGGCUAGCCCUCCUCCGGCCCAGGAAACUUCACAGCUGAAAGUGGUUUGGCCCUUGAUCUCUGACCCCUACUCCCCAAGAGUGCGCCUAGUUAUGUUCUUUGAUGAGCCAUUUGGCUGCAGGUGCUUCCCGUUUUGGCCUAAGCUUCCAGCUUCUUCCCCUUGUUCGUCACCCCUACAGUGAGUGCUGAAGUGUGGCUUGGGGAGCCCGGCAGGCUUCACGGAGGGAUUGUUGGAGACAUGCAGGUUAGUGCCCAGUCGGGGGAUGAUUGAAGCCUGGCAGCUGUGAGCUAGUGACCUUGGACCAGUGCUGUCUCCUGUUCCGUUCCCCUCCCCCCACCCCCGUAAAAGGAUCGUAACUGCUGGAAAAGGUUGGGCAGGAUUAAUGGCGAUUAAGGGGGGCCGCACUCCUGCUCUAGCCUCCAGUACGAUAGGGAAUGUUGCUGGGAGUGGCUGCGUGGGUGGGGGCUGGGCUGUGUCUUGGGCUCCUCCCCGCCAGCCCACUUCCUGAAGCACGUGCCGGAGCCUCCAGGCAAAGGAGAAAGAAAACUGGCUCUGCUUGGGAAGGCGGCCAGCUGUUUUUCUUCCAGUGCAGUUUUCAGUCCGGGCUGUUCUGUAGUGGGUCACGAUUUUUAAGGGUUACCCACUAAUGACCCCAAGAAAAGAAACAGCUCGCCCAAGGUUCUGAGGCCACGACAGACAGGGUUCCAGGUUAUCUUGGUUUUCAGCCCAGAGCCUGGGCCCCUGACAACCCCUUGCUCAGCUGUCUGGGUUAUUUUAGGCACCCUCCCGUUCCAGCUGUCUGCUGCCAUCACUGUCAGAGAGCUGUCUGAUAGCUGAUAGCGAGGAACCAGAAUGGUCCUGUGGCUCCCGACGGUACAGAGGGCCAGGCUUCCAGCUCUGGCCAGCCAGCCUCCCUGGCUCAGGACCAAGCCCAAAGAAGCCUGAAAGAAGAAACCUGGAAUCCUUGCAAAGCACUAUGCCCCGUCUGUGUUUGAGAAGUACACGGCUAGUGUGACUGUGGGCAACAAGGAGGUGACCCUGAACCUCUACGACACAGCUGGGCAGGAAGACUAUGAUCGGCUGCGGCCCCUGUCCUACCAGAACACA
Arvicola amphibius (Eurasian water vole) is the source of this 5856-nucleotide RNA transcript. It is a transcript of the gene named ras homolog family member F, filopodia associated, with no coding region annotated. The record is from RefSeq and is a predicted model, not a curated record. NCBI's taxonomy places the organism in Eukaryota, Metazoa, Chordata, Mammalia, Rodentia, Cricetidae. The transcript has 4 exons.